GGGGAAUAUUGGGCAAUGGGGGAAACCCUGACCCAGCAACGCCGCGUGAAGGAAGAAGGUUUUCGGAUUGUAAACUUCUGUCCCAAGGGAAGAAAGAAAUGACGGUACCUUGGGAGGAAGCCCCGGCUAACUACGUGCCAGCAGCCGCGGUAAUACGUAGGGGGCAAGCGUUGUCCGGAAUUAUUGGGCGUAAAGGGUGCGUAGGCGGCCGAUCAAGUCAGGUGUGAAAGACCCGUGCUUAACAUGGGGGUUGCACUUGAAACUGGUUGGCUUGAGUAUGGGAGAGGCAAGCGGAAUUCCCGGUGUAGCGGUGAAAUGCGUAGAGAUCGGGAGGAACACCAGUGGCGAAGGCGGCUUGCUGGACCAAAACUGACGCUGAGGCACGAAAGCGUGGGUAGCAAACA
RNAcentral lists this ribosomal RNA (404 nucleotides) under uncultured bacterium. RNAcentral's name for it is "bacterial SSU rRNA". It matches the Rfam family "Bacterial small subunit ribosomal RNA", at positions 356 to 774 of the family's 1533-position model. The record is from RNAcentral.